GCCUACAGCCAUACCACCGUGAACACACCUAAUCUUAUCUGAUGUUGGAAACUAAGCAGGGUUGGGCCUGAUUAGUACUGAAAGCGAGAAAUGUUAGCU
Molecule: ribosomal RNA, 99 nt
Organism: Aotus nancymaae (Ma's night monkey)
Lineage: Eukaryota; Metazoa; Chordata; Mammalia; Primates; Aotidae
Source: Ensembl